CGUAGGGUGCAAGCGUUAAUCGGAAUUACUGGGCGUAAAGCGUGCGCAGGCGGUUUUAUAAGUCUGAUGUGAAAUCCCCGGGCUCAACCUGGGAACUGCAUUGGAGACUGUAAGGCUAGAGUGUGUCAGAGGGGGGUAGAAUUCCACGUGUAGCAGUGAAAUGCGUAGAUAUGUGGAGGAAUACCGAUGGCGAAGGCAGCCCCCUGGGAUAACACUGACGCUCAUGCACGAAAGCGUGGGGAGCAAACAGGAUUAGAUACCCUGGUAGUCCACGCCCUAAACGAUGUCUACUAGUUGUCGGGUCUUAAUUGACUUGGUAACGCAGCUAACGCGUGAAGUAGACCGCCUGGGGGACGUACGGUCGCAAAGAUUAA
RNAcentral lists this ribosomal RNA (374 nucleotides) under uncultured organism. Its description in RNAcentral is "bacterial SSU rRNA". It matches the Rfam family "Bacterial small subunit ribosomal RNA", at positions 526 to 897 of the family's 1533-position model. The record is from RNAcentral.